UACGUAGGGACCAAGCGUUGUUCGGAUUUACUGGGCGUAAAGGGCGCGUAGGCGGCAGAUCAAGUCAGCUGUGAAAUCUCAGGGCUUAACCCUGAACGGUCAGCUGAUACUGUUUUGCUAGAGUACAGAAGGGGCAAUCGGAAUUCUUGGUGUAGCGGUGAAAUGCGUAGAUAUCAAGAGGAACACCUGAGGUGAAGACGGGUUGCUGGGCUGAUACUGACGCUGAGGCGCGAAAGCUAGGGGAGCAAACGGG
RNAcentral lists this ribosomal RNA (253 nucleotides) under uncultured bacterium. RNAcentral's name for it is "partial 16S ribosomal RNA". It matches the Rfam family "Bacterial small subunit ribosomal RNA", at positions 524 to 776 of the family's 1533-position model. The record is from RNAcentral.